GAUGAAGAAGGUAGCGAAAUGCGAUAAGUAAUGUGAAUUGCAGAAUUCAGUGAAUCAUCGAAUCUUUGAACGCACAUUGCGCCCGCCAGUAUUCUGGCGAGCAUGCCUGUUCGAGCGUCAUUUCAACCAUCAAGCCCCAGGCUUGUGUUGGAGCCCUGCGGCUGCCGCAGCCUCCCAAAACCAGUGGCGGGCUCGCUAUCACACCGAGUGCAGUAGUUUACUCUUCGCUCAGGGCGUGUGGCGGGUGCUAGCCGUGAAACCCCCAACUUCUCAAGGUUGACCUCGGAUCAGGUAGGAAUACCCGCUGAACUUAAGCAUAUCAAUAAGCGGAGGA
RNAcentral lists this unclassified non-coding RNA (334 nucleotides) under soil metagenome. RNAcentral's name for it is "partial contains 5.8S ribosomal RNA, internal transcribed spacer 2, and large subunit ribosomal RNA". The stretch from base 1 to 120 matches the Rfam family "5.8S ribosomal RNA", at positions 35 to 154 of the family's 154-position model. The record is from RNAcentral.